AGAUUGAACGCUGGCGGCAUGCCUAACACAUGCAAGUCGAACGGGAGUAGCAAUACUCUAGUGGCGGACGGGUGAGGAAUACGUAGGAAUUUGCCCUUAAGUGGGGGAUAACCCGGGGAAACCCGGAUUAAUACCGCAUGACCUCGAAAGAGCAAAGUGGGGGAUCGCAAGACCUCACGCUUUUGGAGAAGCCUACGUCGGAUUAGCUAGUUGGUGAGGUAAUGGCUCACCAAGGCGACGAUCCGUAACUGGUCUGAGAGGAUGACCAGUCACACCGGAACUGAGACACGGUCCGGACUCCUACGGGAGGCAGCAGUGGGGAAUAUUGGACAAUGGGCGAAAGCCUGAUCCAGCAAUGCCGCGUGAGUGAUGAAGGCCUUAGGGUUGUAAAGCUCUUUACCCGAGAUGAUAAUGACAGUAUCGGGAGAAUAAGCCCCGGC
This 440-nucleotide ribosomal RNA is filed under the name uncultured soil bacterium. RNAcentral's name for it is "bacterial SSU rRNA". It matches the Rfam family "Bacterial small subunit ribosomal RNA", at positions 26 to 497 of the family's 1533-position model. The record is from RNAcentral.